Molecule: ribosomal RNA, 438 nt
Filed under: uncultured fungus
Lineage: Eukaryota; Fungi
Description: eukaryotic LSU rRNA
Rfam family: Eukaryotic large subunit ribosomal RNA
Source: RNAcentral
GAUCUCAAAUCAGGUAGGACUACCCGCUGAACUUAAGCAUAUCAAUAAGCGGAGGAAAAGAAACUAACAAGGAUUCCCCUAGUAACUGCGAGUGAAGCGGGAAAAGCUCAAAUUUAAAAUCUGACGGUCUUUUGGUCGUCCGAGUUGUAAUCUAGAGAAGUGUUAUCCGCGUUGGACCGUGUACAAGUCUCCUGGAAUGGAGCGUCAUAGAGGGUGAGAAUCCCGUCUUUGACACGGACUACCAGUGCUUUGUGAUGCGCUCUCAAAGAGUCGAGUUGUUUGGGAAUGCAGCUCAAAAUGGGUGGUAAAUUCCAUCUAAAGCUAAAUAUUGGCGAGAGACCGAUAGCGAACAAGCACCGUGAGGGAAAGAUGAAAAGAACUUUGGAAAGAGAGUUAAACAGUACGUGAAAUUGCUGAAAGGGAAACGCUUGAAGUCAG